RNAcentral lists this ribosomal RNA (700 nucleotides) under bacterium enrichment culture clone SYF4. RNAcentral's name for it is "bacterial SSU rRNA". It matches the Rfam family "Bacterial small subunit ribosomal RNA", at positions 786 to 1500 of the family's 1533-position model. The record is from RNAcentral.
CCUGGUAGUCCACACAGUAAACGAUGAAUACUCGCUGUUUGCGAUAUACAGUAAGCGGCCAAGCGAAAGCAUUAAGUAUUCCACCUGGGGAGUACGCCGGCAACGGUGAAACUCAAAGGAAUUGACGGGGGCCCGCACAAGCGGAGGAACAUGUGGUUUAAUUCGAUGAUACGCGAGGAACCUUACCCGGGCUUGAAUUGCAGAGGAACAUAGUUGAAAGAUUAUGGCCGCAAGGUCUCUGUGAAGGUGCUGCAUGGUUGUCGUCAGCUCGUGCCGUGAGGUGUCGGCUUAAGUGCCAUAACGAGCGCAACCCUUAUCAUUAGUUACUAACAGGUCAUGCUGAGGACUCUAGUGAGACUGCCGUCGUAAGAUGUGAGGAAGGUGGGGAUGACGUCAAAUCAGCACGGCCCUUACGUCCGGGGCUACACACGUGUUACAAUGGGGGGUACAGAGGGCAGCUACCGGGCGACCGGAUGCCAAUCCCAAAAACCUCUCUCAGUUCGGAUCGAAGUCUGCAACCCGACUUCGUGAAGCUGGAUUCGCUAGUAAUCGCGCAUCAGCCACGGCGCGGUGAAUACGUUCCCGGGCCUUGUACACACCGCCCGUCAAGCCAUGGGAGCCGGGGGUACCUGAAGUACGUAACCGCAAGGAGCGUCCUAGGGUAAAACUGGUGACUGGGGCUAAGUCGUAACAAGGUAAC